This 492-nucleotide ribosomal RNA is filed under the name uncultured bacterium. RNAcentral describes it as "partial 16S ribosomal RNA". It matches the Rfam family "Bacterial small subunit ribosomal RNA", at positions 29 to 507 of the family's 1533-position model. The record is from RNAcentral.
AGUGAACGCUGGCGGUAGGCCUAACACAUGCAAGUCGAACGGCAGCACAGUAAGAGCUUGCUCUUACGGGUGGCGAGUGGCGGACGGGUGAGGAAUACAUCGGAAUCUACUUUUUCGUGGGGGAUAACGUAGGGAAACUUACGCUAAUACCGCAUACGACCUACGGGUGAAAGCAGGGGAUCUUCGGACCUUGCGCGAUUGAAUGAGCCGAUGUCGGAUUAGCUAGUUGGCGGGGUAAAGGCCCACCAAGGCAACGAUCCGUAGCUGGUCUGGGAGGAUGAUCAGCCACACUGGAACUGAGACACGGUCCAGACUCCUACGGGAGGCAGCAGUGGGGAAUAUUGGACAAAGGGCGCAAGCCUGAUCCAGCCAUACCGCGUGGGUGAAGAAGGCCUUCGGGUUGUAAAGCCCUUUUGUUGGGAAAGAAAAGCAGCAGGUUAAUACCCCGCUGUUCUGACGGUACCCAAAGAAUAAGCACCGGCUAACUUCGUG